UACGGAGGGUGCAAGCAUUAAUCGGAUUUAUUGGGCGUAAAGGGCGCGUAGGCGGAAGUGCAAGUUAAGUGUGAAAUUCCGAAGCUCAACUUCGGAGCAGCACUUAAAACUGCUCAUCUUGAGGAUUGACGGAGAAAAUGGAAUUCCACGUGUAGCGGUGAAAUGCGUAGAUAUGUGGAAGAACACCAGUGGCGAAAGCGAUUUUCUAGUUUAUACCUGACGCUGAGGCGCGAGAGCAAGGGGAGCAAACAGG
This 253-nucleotide ribosomal RNA is filed under the name uncultured bacterium. RNAcentral's name for it is "partial 16S ribosomal RNA". It matches the Rfam family "Bacterial small subunit ribosomal RNA", at positions 524 to 776 of the family's 1533-position model. The record is from RNAcentral.